This 502-nucleotide ribosomal RNA is filed under the name uncultured bacterium. Its description in RNAcentral is "partial 16S ribosomal RNA". It matches the Rfam family "Bacterial small subunit ribosomal RNA", at positions 28 to 523 of the family's 1533-position model. The record is from RNAcentral.
GAUGAACGCUGGCGGCGUGCCUAAUACAUGCAAGUCGAACGAAUCUUCUUCGGAAGAUGAGUGGCGAACGGGUGAGUAAUACAUAGGUAACCUGCCCCUGUGCGGGGGAUAACAGGCGGAAACUCCUGCUAAUACCGCAUAGCCAUUAGCACCGCAUGGAGCUAAUGCCAAAUAUCCUUUAUGGGAUAGCGCAGGGAUGGACCUAUGGCGGAUUAGCUGGUUGGCGGGGCAACGGCCCACCAAGGCAACGAUGCGUAGCCGGCCUGGGAGGGGGGACGGCCACAUUGGGACUGAGACACGGCCCAGACUCCUACGGGAGGCAGCAGUAGGGAAUUUUCGGCAAUGGGGGAAACCCUGACCGAGCAACGCCGCGUGAGCGAAGAAGGCCUUCGGGUCGUAAAGCUCUGUUGUAAAGGAAGAACGGCGCAUACAGGAAAUGGUAUGCGAGUGACGGUACUUUACCAGAAAGCCACGGCUAACUACGUGCCAGCAGCCGCAGUAA